RNAcentral lists this long non-coding RNA (7337 nucleotides) under Homo sapiens (human). RNAcentral's name for it is "HSALNT0383055". Lineage: Eukaryota; Metazoa; Chordata; Mammalia; Primates; Hominidae. The record is from RNAcentral.
AAUGUGGCUGGCAACUGCGGGGGUAGAAGAACUCAGGCAAAGUAGGCACAGGAAUGGGGGAGAUGAGAGCCAAGGGACAAACGCCGAGAAAGCGUUCCGACAAGCAUGUGUGUUCAUACAUGCAUACCCCCAACAAAGGGCAAUGCACUGUGUAACAGAACUGAACACAAUUUAACAAAGCUGCUCCCAGCCUUCCUGUCACCUCUUUGGCAGUAGGGCAGGCCAUCUCAACUUCGGACACACAAAGACAUUCUCUUCAGGAGGAAGGCUGUCCUGUGUGGUGGGGACAAGGCUUCAGGUAAGAGCAAAGCUAUGAUAGCUACAGCAUUAAUUGAACAUGCCUAAACAAAAAAGAUGUUAAUUACUAGUUACAGGUAUACAUGCCAAAAUUACCCCCAGGGAUGGGCAUAGUCAAUCAUUUUCCUACAGUGGUGAAAUAAAACAAGCUUUGAUCAUGCUUCAGCAAGUAGAAUUAUGUGGUAGAGAAGUCAGGCCCCAUAUGCUAAAAUUUGCACUUCUUGCCAUAAACUUUUCAUGUAUAUAAGUCAAAACCAAGUCUCCUAGGACCACUAAACCUAUGAUGGGCUUUCAACUGUAACACUCAUUCACAUCUUUAAGUUAGGCCCAUGGUCAUGGAACCUGGCCAAGGUUUCAAGCACGCCUAAGCUGAAGAAAAACUAAAGUCACCCCCAUAUAAUUAGGUCCAGUCUAGGCACAGGAAGCCACAGCUGGUUGACUGAUCAGGGCUUCUCAGGACUGGAUGUUGGUUGAAUUGAGGAUUCCAGAAGUAGCAUCAGAUUUGGAAGCCUUUGAAAGUUCUCGCUGUUGAAAAAUAAAUAACAUCAGUGGCCAUACUGCCUCUCUUACACAUGGCCCACCCUUCUAAGUUUGGUUAAGUGUCAGCAAAAGGUCCCUUGAAGGUAGUUUCUCUGAGAUCCCUAGCCUGCAAUAGGCUGCGUUAGGAGUAAAAGGUGAGGAACUCUGAGCACCAUUCUAUUAGUCACAGACAGAGUGCAUGUGCACGCAUGCCCGUGACCCCUUUUUCCUCAGCCAGUCCAUUCUGUUACACCUCACAGAAGAGAAAUCCUUCAUACAGUCAUGCACUGCAUAAUGAUGUUUCAGUUAACGACAGGCCACAUACACUAUGGUGGUCCCAUAAGAUUAUACCAUAUUUUUACUGUACCUUUUCUAUGUUUAGAUACACAAAUACUUACCAUUGCGUUACAAUUGCCUACAGUAUCCCAGGAAUAGCCUGAAUCAAAAAAACCCACAAUUGCCUACAGUAUUCUUUCUGUAACAUGCUGCCCAGGUUUGUAGCCUAGGAGGAAAACGCCAUACCAUAUAGUUUAGGUGUGUAGGCUGUUCUGUCUAGGACUGUUAAGUACACUCUGAUAUGUGCACAAUGAAAUUGCCCCACAUUCUCAGAACAUAUCCCUGUCAUUAAGCGAGGCAUGACUCUACUUCACAGAGCUACUUUAGAGUUGUCAAGGUAAGUAGGCAACAAGCUUUGGUCUCUUGAGCCCUUUAUAAAACAAUGGGCCAGAACAUAUAUCUACCAAUCCCUGGGGCUGAGGCCUUGUAACCUGCUGGUGAUUUGAUCUCAUGCUGGAGCACAUGGUAGAGCAGCAAAAGAUAAAGCAUGAAUGGCUAUUGAGAAAGACAGAUAUUAGCAGAGGUUAGUUUACCGGCUUUGGUGCUGCCUGGUGGAGUCUAUCAGCCAUAGCAACCCAAACCAGACGAACCUACCUAGGACUAGCCACACAGAUAGGCAGGUACAUUUAAGCCUCAGAUAAAAUGGGCCUUGGUUGAACAAGCGAAAAAGAGAAAGCUGGACCUCUGUCCAGCAAUCAGCCAGAGUGACACACACCCACUUUUAAAGGUAGAAGCACCACCAGCCACGUAAUUUGAAAAACAUGCUGGAGUAGGAAGCCAGUUUCAGUGAUCAAAACUAGCUGCAGCCUUGGCCAACUGUUCCAUUCUCUAUCCCUGCAGCAAUUAAGAGGGGAGGCAGGCUAGGGGUUUAACUCAAUAUCCCCUCAAGGGUGAGGAACAUCCUCUCCUCUUGCUAGUAAAAUAUUGAGAGAAGAAAUCACAGAUUAAGUAAAAGGCAGUGUAGUUAGGUGUUAGCAAAUAUAGAGUAGGAUACUAGGAAGUGAAGAGCAUUCUGGAAAAACUUGCUUCCAGUGCUUCAUCUAUGCUUCAGUAGCUCAAUGUAUGGAAAGAGGCAAAGGUGAGGAAAUCAGCAUUAGCUAGCUGAGAAUAGAGCUGGCGGUUAAGCCCUGAGGGGUUAGGAAGGCAUAUACUCCAGGAAAUAAUCAGCACACAGGCCAAGAGCCUCAUUGUAGGCAGCACACAGCUGGGGCUCCCUUCCCCAUGUGAUUGGGGGCCUCUAUUCUUUCCAGCUAUUGCAGGCCUUUGAUGUCACAAUUGGGGAGGGUCAAGGUUUUCUGUUAAACGUGAUUUAAAACUGUGCCUGACUUUAGGGGCUGAGAAUCCAAUUCAAGUCUGAACAAAUUUUAUUAAUUAAUCUGUUGUGAAUGUAAAUCAGAUGUGUUUUUUUGAGUCCAUGAUAGGAAUUCCUGCUUCCUUUGUAACACUGCUGAGAUUAUUAGUUAGUGUAGCCCUGUGCCCAGAUGAAUGAAGCCAGCAGAUGACAGAUCAGUUUGGAAAAGGGACAUGCAGGGAUUGCCAUACAGACCUGAAGCCCAACAGUGGAACUGUCAGAGAGGGACGGAUCCUUCUAAGAACAAAGAAUUAAGACAAUUACCAAGAACUCCACCAAGAGAGCACCAGGACAGUGAUAGAGGGGUUGCCUCCUGCAGCCAGGGAAUGGUGGAAGCAGCGACUGGCUGCAGAGAAAGGAAAGAGAUCCAUGUAUCAUCCUUCUAAUGAACGUGCACACGCACACACAAUACCUGCACUGGUCAAAGGCUGAGACUAUCUUUAUAUUCAUGUCUAUAAUCCUAUACUUUUUAGUUAAAAAAAAAACAUAUAUAUAUAUAUAUAUAUAUAUAUAUAUAUAUAUAUGGGGCUGGGUGUGGCUCAUGCCUAUAAUCCCAACACUUUGGGAGGCCAAGGCAGGAGGAUUGCUUGAGGCGACAUGUUCGAGACCAGCCUGGGCAACAUAGCAAAACACUGUCUCUAGAAAAAAAUUUUUUUUAAAUAUGAAUUCUUGAUUUACAGAACACCUAUCUUGAGCAUAGUCUAAUAAAAUAUUUGAAAGACUGAAUGUGUUUUGCCACAUACUUUCCACAUCUCUACUGAGUACCUGGCAUGUCUAGUGAUCUGGUUUCACUGGGCUAGAACCCACAUGUAGGGGACCUAUCUCCAUACCAGCUGAGGACUGGGCUUGGAAUUGAGUCUACAGCGACCCUGCCUGAUCUUCAGUUUCCCAGACACAUCCCAGUGCUUCCCAUGGUACCAGUGGGGCUCAGAGUGACUGUUCUCUUUUUUUGCACGUUAGUUUUGGACCAUUAUUUAAUGGUGAGCUAGCUUAUAUCUGUCAACUCUCAGCAUCUCAAUAAGAACCAAAUCCAGGGAUCUUAGAAUCUAGAACAAGUAGGUGGGGCCUCUGGGUGAACAGGCUAGGGACGCAUGUGAGGAUGUGCUUAGACACAGGGCAUACUAACCUUGCUGCCAGAAGGAGGAAGUCGAGACACGGGGGAGUGGUAGACUGUCCCUCCAAAGAUAGGCCGAAUGCUACUAUUGGCCGUAGCAUUGGACAUGGUGGUAGUGUUCAGCUAGGGAGAAGAGCACGUGGGUAACUGAUGUGCAGUAACAUCCUCAGCAUUUCUAGCAACCUGUCUACCCUACAGAGAAAUGACUAUGGGAGGAGGCAGUCUAGGGAAGACGGGUUUACAUGGUGAAGGGCCUGCUGUGUCUAAUACUGCAUAGAUUUGAAGUAACUUGUGAAAAAUUUUCAAAGCCUAUUGCUAUCCAGCAAAUGGAAGUGUACAAUGGUACAACCACUGUGGCACAAGACAUCUAGCAUAUGACCCAGCCAUUCCACUCUUAGAUGUUUCUACCCAAACGAAAUGAAAGCAUAGAUCCAUACAAAGACUUAGACGUAAAUGUUCACAACAGCUCCCUGCAGCAGCCAAAAGCUGGCAACAGCCAAAUACCCAUCAGCAGGUAAGUGGACAAGCAAACUGUGGUAAAUUCAUACAGUGGAAUGAAUAUUGAUCUACAAUAAAAAGGAGUGACCUUUUGAUACAUACAGCAACAGAGAUGAAUCUACACUAAAUGAAAGAAGCCAGACAAAAAAGAAUAUGUACUGCGGGAUUCUAUGUAAAAUGUUUCAAAAUGAAAACUAAUCUAUAGUUAGUUAAAGACUAAAUCCCUACUCGCCACAGCUAGAGGCUGGGGGCAAACUAGGAGCCAGGGAAGGAGGGAGGUAAUACAAAGAGGCACUAGGAAACUUUGGGGACCAUGAAAUGUUCAUUAUCUAAAUUAUGGUGACAGUUUCAUUGUAUAAACCUACAUAUGUCAAAACUUAUUAUAUGCUAAUGAUAAGAGCUGUAAAUGUUUUUGAGAUGGGGUCUCACUCUGUCACCCAGGCUGGAGUACAGUGGUACAAUCUUGGUUCACUGCAGCCUCGACCUCCUGGGCUCAAGCAAUCCUCCCACCCCAGCCUCCUGAGUAGCUGGGACCACAGGCGUGUGCCACCACAACCAGCUAAUUUUUGUAUUUGUAGUAGAGAUGGGGCUUCAACAUGUUUCCUAGUCUCCCAACUCCUGAGUUCAAGCAAUCCCCCUACCUUGGCUUCCCGAAGUAGUGGGAUUACAGGCUUGAGCCACUGUACCCAGCCAACACUUUUUUUUUUUUUUUUUAAUUAAAAAAAUUCUAGGGGGCCGGGCACGGUGGCUCAUCUGAGGUCGGGAGUAUGAGACCAGCCUGACCAACAUGGAGAAACCCCGUCUCUACUAAAAAUACAAAAUUAGGUGUGGUAGCACAUGCCUGUAAUCCCAGCUACUCGGGAGGUGGAGGUUCACGCCUGUAAUCCCAGCACUUUGGGAGGCUGGGGCGGGCAGAUCUUCUGAGGUCAAGAGAUUGAGACCAUCCUGGCCAACAAAGUGAAACCCCAUCUCUACUAAAAAUACAAAAAUUAGGUGGGCAUAGUGGCGCGGGCCUGUAGUCCCAGCUACUCAGGAGGCUGAGGCACGAGAAUCACUUGAACCCAGGAGGUGUAGGUUGCAGUGAGCUGAGAUUGCGCCACUGCACUCCAGCCUGGGCAACAGAGCGAGACUCCGUCUCAAAAAAACAAAACCAAAAAAAACACAUUUUAGGCCAGGCACAGUGGCUCAUGCCUGUAAUCCCAGCACUUUGGGAGGCUGAGGCAGGAGGAUCACUUGAGCUCAGGAGUUUGAGACCAGCCUGGACAACUUAGUGAGACCUCAUCUCUACUGAAACUCAAAAAAAAAAAAAAAAAAACACCACCAACAAAAAAAAAAACCCCAAAAUUAGCCGGGUAUGGUGGCAUGUGCCCGUAAGUCUCAGCUACAUGGGAGGCUGAGGUUAGAGAAUCACUUGAGCCCAGGAGGCUGAGCUGCAGUGAGCCAUGAUGGCGCCACUGCACUCCGGUGUGGGUGAUAGAGCAAGACACUGUCUAAAAAUAAUAAAUUUAAUGUUAUAAAAUAGCAGUAGAGAGAAGAAAUAAUACUCUUUUAUUUAUCAAAAAGAAAAAAGUAGGCCAGGCACAGUGGCUCACGCCUGUAAUCCCAGCACUUUGGAAGUCAAGGUGGGUGGAUCACCUGAGGUCAGGAAUUCAAGACCCUAGCCAACAUGGAGAAACCCUGUCUCUACUAAAAAUACAAUAUUAGCCGGGUGUGGUGGCACAUGCCUGUAAUCCCAGCUACUUGGGAGGCUGAGGCAGGAGAAUUGCUUGAAACCAGGAGGCAGAGGCUGUAGUGAGCUGAGAUCACCCAUUGCACUCCAGCCUAGGCAACAAGAGCGAAACUCCAUCUCAAAAAAAAAAAAAGUCCUCUCUGACUGUGCUGUAGAGAUGAAGAAUUAUUACAUCUUCCAUUUAGUAAGCGUGAACGUUGUUUUUCACAUGGUACCACAAGGCCAUCUCUUGGUCUUACAGGGAAAAUGGCAUUACAGGUUUUCAGGAAAACUGCUGAAGCUUUCUUUUCAUCGUUACCAGAAUGUUGGCAAUCAUUCCCCCACCGCACCCCGAAUUUAAUGCAAGGACGCAACAAGCACAGACACCAAAGCUGGCCACUCCGUGACUGUCACUAUAGGCCGCUACUCAGCCUUCCAUCCACUCAAGUGGACUCGACAUGCAGGGACAGAAAAACCCUUUCCCAUCUCUGCAGGACAGAGGGCAAGAGGUAGGGAAAAGAAAGAUCAGAGUGUUACUGUGUCUAUGUAGAAAAGGAAGACAUAAACUCCAUUUUGAUCUGUACUAAGAAAAAUUGUUUUGCCUUGAGAUGCUGUUAAUCUGCAACUUUAGCCCCAACCCUGUGCUCACAGAAACAUGUGCUGUAUGGAAUCAAGGUUCAAGGGAUCUAGGGCUGUGCAGCAUGUGCCUUGUUAACAAUAUGUUUACAGGCAGUAUGCUCGGUAAAAGUCAUCUGCAUUCUCCAUUCUCGAUUAACCAGGGGCACGAUGCACUGCGGAAAGCCGCAGGGACCUCUGCCCAAGAAAGCCUGGGUAUUGUCCAGGUAUUUCCCCGCACUGAGACAGCCUGAGAUAUGGCCUCGUGGGAAGGGAAAGACCUGACCAUCCCCCAGCCCGACACCCGUCGUCUGUGCUCAGGAGGAUUCGUAAAAGAGGAAGGCCUCCGUCUCCUGCAUGCCCCUGGGAACGGAAUAUCUCGGUGUAAAACCCGAUCGUACGUACCUAUGUUCGUUCUAUUCUUAGAUAGGAGAAAACUGCCCUGUGGCUGGAGGCGAGAUACGCUGGCGGCAAUGCUGCUCUGUUACUCUUUACUACACUGAGAUGUUUGGGUGGGGAGAAGCAUAAAUCUGGCCUACGUGCACAUCUAGGCACAGUACCUUCCCUUGAACUUAUUUGUGACACAGAUUCCUUUGCUCACGUUUUCCUGCUGACCUUCUCCCCACUAUCACCCUGUCCUCCUGCCGCAUUCCCCUUGCCAAGAUAGUGAAAAUAGUAAUCAAUAAAUACUGAGGGAACUCAAGAGACCGGUGCUGGUGCAGGUCCUCUGUAUGCUGAGUGCUGGUCCCCUGGGCCCACUGUUCUUUCUCUAUACUUUGUGUCUUAUUUCUUUUCUCUGUCUCUUGUCCCACCUGAUGAGAAAUACCCACAGGUGUGGAGGGGCUGGCCCCCUUCAAAGAGGUGGCUGGGACUACCCUCACCCACUCCCUUGAAAUCAG